CUCGAUAUGGUUAGGAGAAUAUUACACUAAGAGUAUGAAAUUUGCCAAAACAGUUGAAGUAAUGACUCUGUAAGGAAGGGAGAGAUGUUGUUUGUUGCUGACUAAUCACUUAAGAGGUAGUGCAUAAAAUGUUUGCAAUAAAUAUAGACGCUUUAGAAUUCUGGAAAUGUAUCAGUAGUGCAGUGUGCGAAUGAUAAGUACAGACAAUUUUGCGUAUUAAACAACGCAUCAGCGUAUGUUUUUUGCAUGUGCUGAAGGCUGACAAAGUUUCUCAUGCAGGUUACAUUUACAAAAAAAUGCGUCAUUUCUUUGGAAUGCGUAUGAAGGUGCAACAUUAU
This is a non-coding RNA of Pelobates cultripes (western spadefoot toad), 338 nucleotides long. The record is from the annotation of a GenBank genome assembly. NCBI's taxonomy places the organism in Eukaryota, Metazoa, Chordata, Amphibia, Anura, Pelobatidae.